Syngnathoides biaculeatus (alligator pipefish) is the source of this 4756-nucleotide RNA transcript. RefSeq lists it as uncharacterized. The transcript has 3 exons. The record is from RefSeq and is a predicted model, not a curated record. Lineage: Eukaryota; Metazoa; Chordata; Actinopteri; Syngnathiformes; Syngnathidae.
GGGCCCCCUUUUCGGUUUUGCUCGGAGGUGGAAAGCAGAACACGGGACUGACUCGACGACUGCAAUGUCGAACUCCCUCAGCGGCAGACGCAGGAAGUGGACCUUCCGCUGGGCCUUUUUCAGGUCGGGAGCGAUUUUAAACUCCCAGGACGUUGAAGGUCCCCCACGGCGAACGCACGGCAGCUGGGACGAAGGACGCCUCUGCCUCACGAAGUCCACAAUCUUUUCUCCGCUCAUCGUCGCAGUCUUCGAGGCCGCUGGAGCGUCGACCGCAACGGCAAACGGUCCUCUUGCGGAGCUUCACGCGGAUGCCAGUGCGAUUUUCCCCCUUUGUUGUCUUUGCCUUGGUUUGAGCUGGUGUUGCAUAAAAUGUCCGAGUUUUGUUUUGGGACAUAAGGAGAUGAAUUUGUUCUAAUUUUAGAAGUGUUGUAUGUUUUUUUUUUUUUUUUUUUUUUUUUCCCCCCUCUUCUCUCCACUCUCGUCCCCGCGUCGAAGAGGUGCAGCAGAGGAAACGAGGCGCCGACAUCCGCCGGGUGAGGGCGAGCUGCAGAAAGGCUGAGCGAGGGGAAACGGAACGGACCAAAUAAAGGAAGCAAACGUCUCGAUCUGAAGUGGCGAACGGGAGGAGGGCAGCUUUGGCCAAGGAAGUUCGGAGAGUUUUGCGGACCUUCCUCGGUCGGCUGGAGCCGGCCGGUCUUGAUUUGUCCCAUCUGCGGCGCCGACGUCCGUUGGAGGUGGUCGGCUCGUCGUUUCGGCGGGGUCGGCCGUAGCGGGCGGGCCCCGCGAAGACGAGGGAGGACUUCUUGUCUCUCGGUGAGUACGCGACACCGACGUCAACGCCGGUGCGCUUCUCCCCCCGCAGCGUCCCGAAACAAAGGCGCCAACCGGAGGGUGAGUCUGUCGUCGGUCCGCUUGGCGUUUGCCUCCGCUCACUAACUCACUUGGUGUUCACCCACUAACGCCGUUUGCUGUGAAUUUUGUUCAAAUCUUUGAAUGUGUUCAUCAUUCCGUUCCCCUCCAAAAUGUAUUUUGUAUUUGACUUUUUCUGUCCUUUACUCUUUCGGAUGUGACAAAUGUGCUUUAUUUGAAAUAAAAUGGCUUUGUACUUUGAACUGUUUUUAUCGUGUGCAAAUACAUUUCAGACUAAAAAUGACUCGCACAGUCAGGCAUUUUAGCGCCCUAAAAGUUUUAUAAUUCGGCCUUUGAAGACAAACCGAUUACAAAUAGCAUAAAAAAUUUCCCAAAGUAUAAAUGACUGGAUUUUAAAUGUACACACAACAUGACAAUGUGCAGUAAAAGGCAAAAUUUUCAUGCAGGGGUUUAAAAAAAAAAAAAUCUCAAAGGACGUAUUGUGAGACGAUGGGGUAAAAAAAUGAAAGUGGUCAAAUUGUGUGUGAUUUAAUGGAAAAAAAAAAAAAUGUACAAUGAGUUUUUUGUUGGAUGCCUGGGAAGUUGCAGUCAUUCAGUUUUUGAAAUGAGUUUUCGUUGCUGUACAAGCUGCUGCGUCUUUUCCCUUUGGGGUCCUCCUUUCUACCCGCUCCCACUGCAGGUCAGUCCUCGGCGAACGUCGCGGUCCGAGGGGAUGGAUUCCGGUGUCCCCCUCACCUGGUACGCCGCCGGCGAUCCGGAACAAAAGGUCGCCCCGCUCCAACCGCACGGUGAGGGUCUGUCUUGGUUCUGAGUUUGUGGCCGCUCGCGCUCUGGGGAUGCAACUGCGCAAGAAGCGGGAACGCAAGUGGAAUUUGCGGUCAAAGUUAAAUUGUGAACGGGGGGGGGGGGGGGGGCAGCGAGCCGUGUGGCUUCCCUUGGUCGACGAGGAAUUGAAGGAAGUUGUUUGGUAGUUGGUCUGAUUUUUGUCACGAGGGCAGGCGUGUAAAGGCCGGCGGUUGGAUGUUUUUGUUGGGUUUGCUGUGAAGCAGAGUUUGAGACGGUCUGGCAUGUCCUGGUCCUGAGUGUUGCUCAUUUUUGAGUCCUACUGCAGGCCUUGAAUGAAUGCGAGAACCAACAGCAAAAACUCAUAUUUGGUCUUGUUUCAGGGACCGGCGAAUGGCAGAACACAAGAUGAACGGCUUCAUUUCCCCGUCAGGCAAGUGUACAAUUAUUGCACGUUAACAUCUGUGGCCACGUGUUAAAGUAUUUUUUCCCCCCCCCCACCCCAAAAUAAAACUCCGUCUUGAACAAAGUUCUUCCGCCGGGGGCCAAGCACCCGGGAUACAGGCAGAGUAUGUCUCGGUUCUAUUUGGGUGUUUGUCCACUUCACUCACUCACUCACUCACUGGGUGUGCACCAACUAAUGCUACCGCUUAAUUUUUUUUUUUUUUCCUUUGUUUUGAGAUGUGCUUUGAUUAUGGCAAAAAUUGUGAAGUUAGAUCAAUAAAAUGUAUUGUGAAGCAUUUGAGGUGGUUGAUGGAAAAAGGGUCAAAGUCAGAAGUUUUCAUGACUUGCGUUGAAAUGGAAUGUUUGACAAUGAAACCAUUUGAUCAAAAAUUUGUCAUUUAUUUUUUUGGGGGGGGAGACCUGCAGGUCUUUUUUUUUUUCUUCUUAAAUUUGUGUUGAACAAAUAAAUUGACUUUAUGGUGGUGUCUGACUCUUCUUUUAAUCGUCCGCCGGUUCCGUCCUCGAAUCGAAAGUCUCCUUCCAAAUGUGUUCAGAAUCCAAAACCAGCCGAGCUCAAAUAGUGGAGGGCGGAGGUCAAAGCCGAAAUGCCGAAGCGGCAUCGAGCGACGACGCUGCACCCGAACGGAAAAAGUUGCCGACAGAGGUAAAGCACAUUGAGUGAGCUCGUGUAUGAAAUGCGCUUUCCAAGUCAAUUUGCUUUCCUUUGCUGGGGCGUCCCUGGGCCGCAGACGCGUGUCGAAGUGCGACCACAAGGGGGCGCUCCAGCCGGCAGCCAUUCCAACAAGUUCUUCAACCUGCACUUGGCGAACACGACCCCGCCCUGAGUGUUCCCUCGUGGGCGGCCUGACAACUUGCGGUCUUGGGUUCGAUUCCGGCCUCGACCCGACGUUGCGCCGGAAUGUCUCCGUGGAGCCUGUUGCGUCCCCCAUCCUCAACAGAAGCUCACGUUUCCAACCCUCAGCAGAGCUGUGAGUUUUCUUUCUAUGCAUAAUUUUUAUGAAAUUGUACAGAUUGCCGGUCGAGACAAAUUUGAAACUAUAGCAAUAAAAAGGUACAUUGCAAGAGAUAUGUAUCUGUGUAUGAUAAUUUCUUUCACAUUUUAUUUAAAUGUAAUCAAAUAUCUUGCAUUGAAUUUCAAAGUGAAUUGUUACAAGGUGAAGCAGAUCUGAAUUACAAAACAUACACAUUUAAAACGCGCUCACUGCAUUUUAGACAGACUCAACGCCCUGCACGGGGUUUGAACCACCAACCUCUCGGUUCCAAAGCCACAUCGCGACGCCCUCACCCGUCACCGAGUUGACAGUUGAGCCUUUCUUCCUGUCCGUAUAUUUCAAACGACCGAUUUCCACGUUUUUAAAUUCAAUGUGCGUAUCCAGUCCCCACUCGCAUGUUCCGCGGUGGCCUGUUGAGUUGUGCCUCGCUCGAGGAACCCGAAAGUCUCGGUUCAAAACCACUUGCGGCACUGUUUGCUUUUCUUAAGAAUGUUUUUGUCCAAUUCACGUCUUUUAAUGGUGGCUGCCCACCACACAGGAAGUUCAGUUUUAUUUUGAAUUAAGAUAAUCGACAAAAUAAAAGUCAAGACCACAAAAGUAACAUUUUUGCUGUUAAAAUGGAUUUCAGAAAUGAUUAUUUAUAUUAAUACACUGCAUUAUUUGCAUGUUAUGAUCAAGUUGUUACAUCACAAGGAACUGGGUUAAUUAGGAUUAGUAGUUGCACAUGGUUAUGGGUUAGUACAGCGUAUUGGUUAGGGUCAGGACAGUUAUGCACAGUACAUCGUUUGAGAGACAUUGACAUUGCAUUUACGAAACCUCCGUUGCUCACUGCUGGCUUUGAACCUACAACCCCGAGCUCAGAAACCUACAGCGCAAUCCUCUGAGCCAGAAGUGAACUAAACAUUUCAGGUUUUCCUUGCCUCAUGUCUUUCAUUUUGAGCACCGCGAGCAGGCUGCCCGGGGAUGCUCUUAGACCCGACUGCGAUGGAGGACCUCCAGCUCGCUGUUGGCUCUGCGGGAAAGGAUAGCGGCUUGUCAAUCUGGCGACCCGGGAUCAAAUCCAAGGGAGGUCCUUGGCGGUCUUUGAAUUGCAGUAUAAUAAUGACUUUUUUUUUUAUCUUGAAUGGUGUGAGUAGACUGGCUGGGAAUGCCUUAUACGCUACUGCGAGGGGAGGCCUCCAGCUCGCUGUUGGCUCUCAGCGUAAGGCGAGCGCUUCUGAAUCCGGCAACCCGGGUUCAAAUCCAAGGGAGGUCCUUGGUAGUCUCAAAUAAAUUCCUCCAAAAGAUAGGGUAGCUAGCAGAUAGAAAGUAGUACGCCAGUAGCGUUAGCUCGCAGAUAGUAUAGCGUACGCUAGGGUAGCUAGCAGAUAGAAAGACGUGCGCCAGUAGAGUUAGCUCGCAGAUAAGAUAGAAUACGCUAGGGCAGCUCGCAGAUAAGGUGGCGUACGCCAGUAGCGGUAGCUCGCACAUAGGAUAGCAUACGCUAGGGUAGCUAGCAGAUAGAAAGGUGUACGCUAGUAGCGGUAGCUUGCAGAUAGGAUAGCGUGUAGCAGUAGCUCGCAGAUAGGAUAGCUGGUAGAUAGGUCGGCGUACGCCAGUAGCAGUAGCUCGCAGAGAGGAUGGCGUACGCCGGUAGCAGUAACUGG